GACGUACGCUGGCGGCGCGCUUAACACAUGCAAGUCGAACGGAAAGGCCUGCUUUCCCUUGUGGAUUGCGGGUACUCGAGUGGCGAACGGGUGAGUAACACGUGAGUGAUCUGCCCCCAACUUGGGUAUAAGCCUGGGAAACUGGGUCUAAUUCCCGAUAGGACUGCAGGGUGGUGCCUGUGGUGGAAAACGAUUUUCUAGUGGUUGGGGAUGAGCUCGCGGCCUAUCAGCUUGUUGGUGGGGUAAUGGCCUACCAAGGCGGCGACGGGUAGCCGGCCUGAGAGGGUGGACGGCCACAUUGGGACUGAGAUACGGCCCAGACUCCUACGGGAGGCAGCAGUGGGGAAUAUUGCACAAUGGGCGGAAGCCUGAUGCAGCGACGCCGCGUGGGGGAUGACGGCCUUCGGGUUGUAAACUCCUUUCGACCGCGAGGAAGCCACCUGGUUGGAAGGGUGGUGACGGUAGUGGUAGAAGAAGCACCGGCUAACUACGUG
Molecule: ribosomal RNA, 494 nt
Filed under: uncultured bacterium
Lineage: Bacteria
Description: partial 16S ribosomal RNA
Rfam family: Bacterial small subunit ribosomal RNA
Source: RNAcentral